Molecule: ribosomal RNA, 729 nt
Filed under: fungal endophyte
Lineage: Eukaryota; Fungi
Description: eukaryotic LSU rRNA
Rfam family: Eukaryotic large subunit ribosomal RNA (bases 487-729)
Source: RNAcentral
UUACACAAAUAUGAAGGCGGGCUGGAACCUCUCGGGGUUACAGCCUUGCUGAAUUAUUCACCCUUGUCUUUUGCGUACUUCUUGUUUCCUUGGUGGGUUCGCCCACCACUAGGACAAACAUAAACCUUUUGUAAUUGCAAUCAGCGUCAGUAACAAAUUAAUAAUUACAACUUUCAACAACGGAUCUCUUGGUUCUGGCAUCGAUGAAGAACGCAGCGAAAUGCGAUAAGUAGUGUGAAUUGCAGAAUUCAGUGAAUCAUCGAAUCUUUGAACGCACAUUGCGCCCUUUGGUAUUCCAAAGGGCAUGCCUGUUCGAGCGUCAUUUGUACCCUCAAGCUUUGCUUGGUGUUGGGCGUCUUGUCUCUAGCUUUGCUGGAGACUCGCCUUAAAGUAAUUGGCAGCCGGCCUACUGGUUUCGGAGCGCAGCACAAGUCGCACUCUCUAUCAGCAAAGGUCUAGCAUCCAUUAAGCCUUUUUUUCAACUUUUGACCUCGGAUCAGGUAGGGAUACCCGCUGAACUUAAGCAUAUCAAUAAGCGGAGGAAAAGAAACCAACAGGGAUUGCCCUAGUAACGGCGAGUGAAGCGGCAACAGCUCAAAUUUGAAAUCUGGCUCUUUUAGAGUCCGAGUUGUAAUUUGCAGAGGGCGCUUUGGCUUUGGCAGCGGUCCAAGUUCCUUGGAACAGGACGUCACAGAGGGUGAGAAUCCCGUACGUGGUCGCUGGCUAUUG